CGGGACGGGUGAGUAACGCGUGGGUAACCUGCCAUAUACAGGGGGAUAACACUUAGAAAUAGGUGCUAAUACCGCAUAAGCGCACAGUAUUGCAUGAGACAGUGUGAAAAACUACGGUGGUAUAUGAUGGACCCGCGUCUGAUUAGCUGGUUGGUGAGGUAACGGCCCACCAAGGCGACGAUCAGUAGCCGGCCUGAGAGGGUGGACGGCCACAUUGGGACUGAGACACGGCCCAAACUCCUACGGGAGGCAGCAG
Molecule: ribosomal RNA, 256 nt
Filed under: uncultured bacterium
Lineage: Bacteria
Description: partial 16S ribosomal RNA
Rfam family: Bacterial small subunit ribosomal RNA
Source: RNAcentral